UCUUCAUUUCAUGUGCUCUCUCACCGUCAGAGUGACGAGAGAGUGUGUGAAAUGAAGAGA
RNAcentral lists this microRNA precursor (60 nucleotides) under Pristionchus pacificus. Its description in RNAcentral is "mir-8364 microRNA precursor family". It matches the Rfam family "mir-8364 microRNA precursor family". Lineage: Eukaryota; Metazoa; Nematoda; Chromadorea; Rhabditida; Neodiplogasteridae. The record is from Rfam by way of RNAcentral.